This is a long non-coding RNA of Manihot esculenta (cassava), 1461 nucleotides long. RefSeq lists it as uncharacterized. The transcript is spliced from 2 exons. Lineage: Eukaryota; Viridiplantae; Streptophyta; Magnoliopsida; Malpighiales; Euphorbiaceae. The record is from RefSeq and is a predicted model, not a curated record.
AUUGCUGGUUCUCCGGGCAUAUUAUGCAAGGGAGUGACCAGAAUACGAAGGGGAUGUAGCUCAGAUGGUAGAGCGCUCGCUUAGCAUGCGAGAGGUACGGGGAUCGAUACCCCGCAUCUCCAAGCUUUUCAAAUUCUUUUUACCACUUUCGUUUUCCCACCUUUUUGGUCUCUAACUCAUUUAAACGCGCCGUUUUUGCUCAUUUCGACUACUUCAGUCGACUCCAGUAUUUCUCUGUGGAAGACGGAUCACAUUACUGUGCUCGACGCCACUAGUUACAUUUCCAAAGUGCUGAUAUAUCAAUGGAGGAAAGAACACCAGUAACAUGCAAGAAGACAUGGAGGUUAACAUGAGUGAUUGCGCUGAAUAGUGCAUUCAUGAAUUAAUAUUUGCAGUGGAUACUCUACCUCUUCUCUUCAUCAAUUCCUCUACCGUUGCUCCCAGUGGCCUUGUAGGUGGGCAGUGGGGCUUGGCCAGAUUCUAUGUAAAUUAGAUCCUCCACAAGACGAUCAUAGUGUAUCUUUACUUCUUCAGGAGAUUUACCACCUACAGCCUUGGCCACAUUUUGCCAGCGGUCUGGGGUGUCCUUAUCAUAUAGAGCCAACGCCUUUUCAAAUAGCUUGUUUUGCUUGGGAGUCCAGGACGAGCUAGAACCAUGAGAAGAAGAAGAGAAGUGCCUUGAUGCCAUUUAUAUGCUAAAAUAUCGGCCAAGUACUGCAGGGACCGAAGAAUUGUGUAUCCAACCGAAGUUUAAAGGUAACUGGUGAGAGAAUGUGAUUGUGAAGUAUAAAGCUGAAGAAAAUGCUAAAAGUAAAGGAAGAUCGAAAGAAAAUGAGAGUAAAGACUAAAGAGUUGCCUAGUCAAGGGAGGAGAUGAAAACUGAAGUCAAGGGAGAGGUAUGUGUAAGAGACUGCCAUCUUUGCUCCUUAUAAACAGGAGAGAGACCCAGGGUGGUGUGGCUAUGCAAGUUGGCGAAUAAAUUUUUUUCGAGAUAGUAUAACAAGAUGUGAUUCGCUUCAUUGUGAAAUGGGAAGAAGGACAAGAAAAGAAAAGAGAAUCUGUUGUCAAAGGACAGGCUCUUUAUAAAGUCUUUUUCCUUGUCUUGUAUAAUAUCAUCAGCAACAGCAAGUGGAAUUCUUCGAGAAUUUUACCUAGUGCCUAGGGGGGAUUAGAUCCCAAUUCUAAGUCUACCCAUCAGCAGAUAGAUGCGCCUACAACAUGAACCGCCAUUCCACCUUUUAGACCCCGCAAAAAGACACGGUAAGAUAUUCUGCCAUAUUUUGUAGUGGCACUGGGAUUUUCUUGCUCUUGCUUACUUAGGCAACUUGCCAUCAGUAUAUAUCCAUUUUUAAGUAGUAUACGUUUAUUGGCCACUCUUUUUUGUGCGAGUGAAUCUUGGAUUUGUUUCUUGUAGUUGCCGACUAAAAAAUAGAAAAGGCGAAUAGAGUAUCAUUUCUUUCC